This 442-nucleotide ribosomal RNA is filed under the name uncultured bacterium. RNAcentral's name for it is "partial 16S ribosomal RNA". It matches the Rfam family "Bacterial small subunit ribosomal RNA", at positions 338 to 795 of the family's 1533-position model. The record is from RNAcentral.
CCUACGGGGGGCAGCAGUGGGGAAUAUUGGGCAAUGGGCGCAAGCCUGACCCAGCAACGCCGCGUGAAGGAAGAAGGCUUUCGGGUUGUAAACUUCUUUUAAGAGGGAAGAGCAGAAGACGGUACCUCUUGAAUAAGCCACGGCUAACUACGUGCCAGCAGCCGCGGUAAUACGUAGGUGGCAAGCGUUGUCCGGAUUUACUGGGUGUAAGGGGCGUGCAGACGGGAAGACAAGUCAGUUGUGAAAUCUCGCGGCUCAACCGCGGAACUGCAUUUGAAACUGUUUGUCUUGAGUACCGGAGAGGUCAUCGGAAUUCCUUGUGUAGCGGUGAAAUGCGUAGAUAUAAGGAAGAACACCGAUGGCGAAGGCAGAUUACUGGACUGCAACUGACGGUGAGGCGCGAAAGCGUGGGGAGCAAACAGGAUUAGAUACCCGGGUAGUC